ACCCUCCUGAUUCCUUACUCAUGAGACCUAAAACUGGUCUGAGUGGUUAUAAGUGAAAGAAAAGUAAAAUUGAAACUGACUUCAAUACUUUCAUGACACAAGCUGGUUUAAAUGGAGA
This 118-nucleotide small nucleolar RNA is filed under the name Echinops telfairi (small Madagascar hedgehog). RNAcentral's name for it is "Small nucleolar RNA SNORA61 (ENSETEG00000024674.1)". The record is from RNAcentral. Lineage: Eukaryota; Metazoa; Chordata; Mammalia; Afrosoricida; Tenrecidae.